ACUCCUACGGGAGGCAGCAGUAGGGAAUCUUCGGCAAUGGACGAAAGUCUGACCGAGCGACGCCGCGUGAGUGAAGAAGGUUUUCGGAUCGUAAAACUCUGUUGUUAGAGAAGAACAAGUGGGAGAGUAACUGUUCCCACCUUGACGGUAUCUAACCAGAAAGCCACGGCUAACUACGUGCCAGCAGCCGCGGUAAUACA
RNAcentral lists this ribosomal RNA (200 nucleotides) under uncultured bacterium. RNAcentral describes it as "partial 16S ribosomal RNA". It matches the Rfam family "Bacterial small subunit ribosomal RNA", at positions 335 to 527 of the family's 1533-position model. The record is from RNAcentral.